AUGUUAGGUGGUCAAGAAGUUGCUAUCAAAAGGCUUAGUAAGGAUUCUCGGCAAGGAACAAAGGAAUUCAGCAAUGAAGUAAUUCUAAUUGCCAAAUUGCAACAUAGAAACUUGGUUCAACUCCUUGGGUGUUGCGCCGACAGGGAUGAAAAGUUAUUGAUUUAUGAAUAUAUGCCUAACAAGAGUUUGGAUGCUACCCUUUUUGAUGACUCAAGAAAAUUGCGACUGGAUUGGUCGACACGGUUUAAUAUAAUCAAAGGGGUCGCAAGGGGGCUUCUUUAUCUCCACCAAGAUUCAAGACUCACAAUAAUUCACAGAGACCUGAAAGCUGGAAAUGUUUUGCUAGAUGCAGAGAUGAAACCCAAGAUAGCGGAUUUUGGUAUGGCGGGGAUAUUUGGCGAUAACCAACAAAAUGCAAAUACUCAACGCAUUGUUGGGACCUAUGGCUACAUGGCUCCUGAGUAUGCAAUGGAAGGCCUCUUCUCUACCAAGUCUGAUGUAUACAGCUUCGGUGUGUUACUAUUAGAGGUUGUAACUGGUAUUAGAAGAAACUCCAAUAGUCAAACCAUGGGUUUCCCUAGCCUCAUAAUCUAUUCAUGGACUAGCUAUGUGGAAAGAAGGAAGGGCAGAGGAGUUGCCGGACUCAUCUAUCAUGGAUGCUUGUUCACUAGAUGA
This 675-nucleotide ribosomal RNA is filed under the name Triticum aestivum (bread wheat). RNAcentral describes it as "partial small subunit ribosomal RNA". Lineage: Eukaryota; Viridiplantae; Streptophyta; Magnoliopsida; Poales; Poaceae. The record is from RNAcentral.